This 29-nucleotide small RNA is filed under the name Bombyx mori (domestic silkworm). RNAcentral describes it as "ovarian small RNA-19615". Lineage: Eukaryota; Metazoa; Arthropoda; Insecta; Lepidoptera; Bombycidae. The record is from RNAcentral.
UAAUAUGAACUAAUAUACAUAAAUAUAGU